This 290-nucleotide ribosomal RNA is filed under the name uncultured Bacillus sp. Its description in RNAcentral is "partial 16S ribosomal RNA". It matches the Rfam family "Bacterial small subunit ribosomal RNA", at positions 925 to 1215 of the family's 1533-position model. The record is from RNAcentral. Lineage: Bacteria; Bacillati; Bacillota; Bacilli; Caryophanales; Bacillaceae.
UACAAGCGGUGGAGCAUGUGGUUUAAUUCGAAGCUACGCGAAGAACCUUACCAGGUCUUGACAUACUCGUGCUAUUCCUAGAGAUAGGAAGUUCCUUCGGGACACGGGAUACAGGUGGUGCAUGGUUGUCGUCAGCUCGUGUCGUGAGAUGUUGGGUUAAGUCCCGCAACGAGCGCAGCCCCUAUUGUUAGUUGCCAUCAUUAAGUUGGGCACUCUAACGAGACUGCCGGUGAUAAACCGGAGGAAGGUGGGGAUGACGUCAAAUCAUCAUGCCCCUUAUGACCUGGGCU